AAGACCCAUCAAAAAGAUCCAAACUCUUCUGGUAGGAGUGGGAAAUGCUUGAAAAUAUGAGGAAGAUACAGCAGCAGGAACGCGAUGCUUUUGAAGCAAUGAUAAUGGCUGGUUAUGUUCUUGAAAACCAUAUUAUCAAUAAUAGCUUUCUUAAUCAGAAAUCCCCUAUUACCAGCAACCCUAUGCCUCUGACAAGUGAUAUCGUGCCAAUUCCCAGCAAACCACCUGAUGAAAAAAAGGAAAAUUUGGUGGCUGGCAAGGAUCUAAAGCAAAAAGGGGUUCUAGCCCCAACUAAGGUACAUACUUUGGGGAAGGGAACUAAUGCCCAUGCUUAAUCUUGGGUCUGGUGACCUAACAUAUCUCAUCGUCGUGUCUAAUAAAUCUGAUAAUUUGGAACUGCGUGGGUCUUGGAGGUCAAAUAUUUAUUUCUUUGAUUAAGGAUACGAAAAUAGAAUAACAUGUUAGCUUUUUCAUCUUACUGGAAACCUACAUCAGUAGAGACAGAGGUAGGGCUAUUUGAAAAAAUUUGGAUUUUGACGCUAGUUUUAUCGAGGAGGCAAGAGGCUACUCAGGCAGUAUAUGGUGCCUUUAGGAUCCUGGAAUUUGGAAGCUUGCUAUGGAAGUCCCCAGAGGGCUAAUGGAAAAAUUCUCUGGAAAAGUCUCAGAGCCAUUAGUUUAAAUACUUUUUCUGCCUUGGUGUUCCUUGGGUGACUUCAAUGCUCUGCUCCACAAGUAUGAAUGCAGGGGAGGUACCGAAAAUAAUGAUAGAGGUGCGUGCGAGGAUUUUCAAACUUGCAUUUUCGAUUACGGAUUAAUGGACCUCGGCUACUCUGGUUGGCCCUUUACCUGGAGAAGAGGUAAUUUGAUGGAACGACUUGAUAGGGGUUUGGGUAAUUUGGACUGGAAUAUUACCUUCCCAGAAGCUAGGAUAAUGCACUUUCCCAUGUUCAAGUCUGACCAUUCUCCCCUGUGCCUUCAGUUCUCGUCUUCGAUGCCGACUAACAGAAAAAAGAGACCAUUCAGAUUCACUGCCGCGUGGCUCACUCAUCCUGGUUUUGGAAACCUUGUCAAUAAUAAUUAGAUUAUGCAGGGGUCUUGGAAUAUGGGUAUGGUUAUUUUUCAAAAUGCUUUGAAGGACUGGAAUUAUAGGGUGUUUGGUAAUAUCUUAAAAAAAAACAAAACAAAAUCAUAAGAAGAUUGCAAGGGAUUACAACUAACAUAAAAUCCUAUUGGAAAUAAUAUCUUCUUGGAGAAACUCCAAAAAGAUCUCUAAGGGGAGUAUGAGGAGAUACUUAUUCAAGAAGAGAUGUUAUGGUUACAGAAUUCUCUGUACAAAUGGAUUAAUUUGGGUGACAGAAAUACUAAGUACUUCUACGGUAUCACUAUGGCUAGAAGAUGGAGAAACAAGGUGACUUCUCUUUAAGAUAGUGAUGAGAAUCGGAUCUCGGAUGAUGAUGCUCUUGAAAAUAUGGUGACAACUUUCUAUUUUGAGUUAUACAAGGAUGACCUUCCUGACUGCCCGUAUAUUCUCCAUGGUAACUUUCCUACUCUUUUUCAUGAUGAGCUGAUCAAUAUUGAGAAUAAUGUAUCUAUCUUGGAAAUUAAAAAUUCUGUUUUUAGUAUUGGUGGUCUGAAAGCACCAGGUAGAGAUGGUAUACAUGCCAUUUUUUUUAUCAUAAUCAAUGGGAUAAAUUCGGUUCUGACCUAUGUAAUCUGGUGAAAGCUAUUUUUCUUGAACCUUGGAGAAUCAGCGAGGUCAGUAAAAUGUUUAUUACUUUAAUUUCAAAGGUGGAGCUAGUCUCAAGCCUAAAACGCAUGAGAACUAUAAGCUUAUGCAACAUUUCAUUCAAAGUGGUCACCAAGAUCCUUGCUAACCGAUUGAGAAUGGUUAUGGAAAAGCUUGUUAAACCCACCCAAUGUAGCUUUGUUCCUAGAAGACAAAGUUCUGACAACAUUACCAUCACUCAAGAAGUUAUUCAUUCCAUGAGGACAAAGAAAGGAAACAAAGGUUGGAUGGCUAUAAAAAUCGACUUGGAAAAAGGUUACGACAGACUCAAAUGGAGUUUUAUAAAAGACAUUCUGGUUGACAUCAGACUCCCUGCUCACUUUAUUAAUUUGAUCUGUACGUGAAUUUUUACAGCCAGGAUGCGGGUCUUAUAGAAUGGUGAAACCUUGGAUGAAUUUCUUCCUUCCAGAGGUAUCCGACAAGGAGACCCCCUAUCGCCUUAUAUUUUUGUUCUUUGUAUGGAACGUCUCACCCAGUUUAUCAGCGCAGCCGUGGAAAACCACUUUUGGAAGCCCAUAUAGCUUAAUCAGGAUGGCCCCGAUCUAUCCCACCUUUACUUCGCAGAUGACCUCAUUCUCUUUGCCGAAACUAGCAUGGACCAAGCAAAGAUUAUCAACAAGAUCCUUGAAGAAUUUUGCAAAAGUUUCGAGCAGAAAGUAAAUAAUGAUAAGACUUGAAGUUUUCUUUCCAAUAAUGUGGGCAACAAUGUCAGAUAGGAGAUUAGUGAAGCACUCCAUUUCACAAGAACGGAUGAUCUUGGAAAAUAUCUCGGAAUCCCCCUUCUUCACACAAGAACCAACCGCAACACAUACAAUGAGAUUAUUGGCAAACUCAACUCUAAGCUAAAUGGAUGGAAAGCUUCCACUCUAUCUUUUGCAGGAGCUUUCUUUGGGAAGAAAUGGAUCAAUCAUGAAAAGUUCAUCUCCUUAACUGAAAGAUUAUUAGUUAACCUAAAACUAAUGGUAGGCUUGGUAUCCAACAUGCCAAGGAGCUUAACCAUGCCUUCAUGAUAAAAAUUGGUUGGAGCCUUAUAGAAAAAAGAGAUGCUCUUUGGGUCAAAGUCCUCCGAUCAAAAUAUAAUUGUGGAAGUGACAUUCUCCCAAGAGUGGAAAGAAAGAAUAAGCAAUCAAAUCUCUGAAAAGGAGUGUGUGCUUCUUGGUCUGAUGUUCAAACGAAUUCUAUCUGGAACAUUGGUGAUGGGAACAAUAUAAACUUUUAGAACCACCAAUAGGUGCCAAGUCUCGGUCCUCUUAACAAUUAUGUUGCACAAGUAAGUCAGUCUUAUCAUUCAAAUGAUGCAUUAAUAGAUUUUCUUUUGGUUUCAGGUGAGUGGGAUGUCGAUGAACUUCAAAGAUGGCUUCUGGAUCCAGUGGUGAACAGAAUCCUAACCAUUUUUCCACCAUCCUCGAGGAAUGGUCAAGACCAGAUUUCUUGGGUAGCUUCAUCAGAUGGCACUUUCAAUCUGAAAUCAGCCUAUUCUUCGCUCUAAAAUAACAUAGGAGUUGCAUAUCAUCUUUUCAAGCUUGCUUGGAAGUGGAAUUGCCUUGAAAGAAUUCGAUCCUUUAUUUGGCUGGUUGCUCAUGAAGCUAUUCUGACGAAUGUGGAAUGGAAAAGAAGACACUUAACUGUUGAUGCAAGAUGUCAUCAAUGUAACUUUGUUACUGAAGAUGCUCUGCAUGUUCUCCGUAAUUGUUCUUUUGCAACCACCAUUUAGAAUCUCUUACAAGCCAACCAGAAGGUUCAAGACUUAUUUAACCUGAAUAUCCAGGAGUGGCUUUUGCAAAAUCUCUCACCAAAUGAUUGGAACACUAUGUUUGGAGUGACUAUAUCCUCCUUAUGGUACCAACGUAACAAACUGUUCUUUGAAGGAGUUGGUACCUCUCCCCUGGCAGUUGUGGAGUCAAUCAAAAUGCGGGUUAUAGAGAUUACAAAACUAUUGGACUUGAGGAUUGUUCCAAAGAAUACGUACCAAUCUUCCUAUGAUACCCUAAUUUGCAGGUUACCCCCUCCGAACCAUUGGAUAAAGUAAACGUUGAUGGCUCUUUUUUUGUGCAAAAAAUAAAUGCAGCUUGUGGUGGCGUUUUCUGAGACAACUUGGGAAGAUUCAUCAAUGGCUUUUCUUGUAAUCUAGACAGCUGCUCCAUCAUGCAUGCGGAGCUCUGAACAAUAAUUAGAGGCUUGCAAAUUACAUCAGCAAA
Non-coding RNA from Arachis ipaensis, 3984 nucleotides. The record is from RefSeq and is a predicted model, not a curated record. NCBI's taxonomy places the organism in Eukaryota, Viridiplantae, Streptophyta, Magnoliopsida, Fabales, Fabaceae.